Molecule: long non-coding RNA, 91 nt
Organism: Sinocyclocheilus anshuiensis
Lineage: Eukaryota; Metazoa; Chordata; Actinopteri; Cypriniformes; Cyprinidae
Exons: 3
Source: RefSeq, a predicted model, not a curated record
CUGUAUCUUUAAAUGCAAAUGAGCUGCUGCUCCCCGCCCCCUUUUCCAGAAUAGGGCUGUUCCUUUACAGCUCGUACCUGCUUAAAACAUC